This 66-nucleotide transfer RNA is filed under the name Diptera sp. 69 LC-2017. Its description in RNAcentral is "tRNA-Ala". The record is from RNAcentral. Lineage: Eukaryota; Metazoa; Arthropoda; Insecta; Diptera.
GAAAAUAUAGUUUAAAUAAAAUAAUUGACUUGCAUUCAAUAGAAAUUAUAUUUAUAAUUUUUUUUU